CACGGUGUGCCCCUUUCCCCCCACUUUCGACUUUGGAGCUUUCGCGCUUCGCCUCCCUUCCCGUUCCCCGUUCCCCCGCGCGCUCCUCUCUCGGCUGCGGCCGCGGCCGCCAGGCGAUGCAGCUGGACGACUCCGACGGCGCCCUCGGCUCGUGGGCCCGCUUCUGCGCUCUCUCCGGCGAGCUCGUCGGCGGCGCCGGCGACCUCUCCGUCGGCCCGCGCCUCGCGCCCGUCGUGGCGGACCUCUGCGCCCGCGGCCUCGCCACGCUCGUCCGCGACUACUUCCUCCACAACCUCGAGGAAACAUUUAGAAACAAUGCAGUCAAGAUGUUCUGGCAGAAAUUUCAUCCUUAUAGCAGUUCUUCUGCAGUAGAAAGAAUUAAAUUCUGUGUUCAGGAAAGCUGGCCUGAGGAUGUCUUGAGUGCAGCACUAGAGGACAUAUGCUUGGAAAAGAGUUACCAGGAAAAAUGUGUCCUAGUUCUAGCUCAUGCUUUACAAUCAUACGAGGAGAAGGCACAAAACAGAAAGCUCAAAGCAGUUCAGUGUAGUUCCAGCUUAAUGCCUAGGUACCAAUUAAUGGUAUCUUCUGUACUUCUGACAACACUGCCCUUGAGCUUUCCUGAGAUUCUAAAUGUCUAUUUCAAGAAGAAACUGGAAGAACUAAAUACCAUGGUGGAUGCAUCUGAUGAGAACGACCAACUUGCUAGUCAUGAACUUUUUGGACGGAGCAAUGUUUCUGCUUGGGAUUCUAAAAUGGACAUUGAUAGUCAAGAAACAGUUAUUUCAGAAAGUUGCACUCUGGUUAAGAACAUUGGAAAAGUUGUUCGUGAUUUUAGAUGUCUUGGUUUUACAUCUAUGACCGAAGAUUCUUAUUCCUCUGCAAUAAUCUGGCUUUUAAAGUCUAAAGUUUAUGAACUAGCUGGUGAUGAUUACAGAAUCCCUGUCCUUGGGAGUGUCAAUAAGUGGAUUCAAGUUGUUCCUCUUCAGUUUUUGCAUGCUCUUUUGACAUAUCUGGGGGACUCUGUUGACUAUGACAGUGGAUUAUCUGGUCUGAAAUCGCCCUUAGCCUCACGCCCUUCUUCCUUCCCAGGGAUCGGUGUUCCUUCUGAAGCACUUCUGAGGUGGCACAUGCGCCUUGAAUAUUUUGCUUAUGAAACCUUGCAGGACCUAAGAAUUGGCAAACUUUUUGAAAUUAUAGUAGAUUACCCUGAGAGUUCUCCCGCUAUUGAAGACCUAAAGCAGUGUUUAGAGUACACGGGUCAACACUCUAAGCUUGUUGAUUCAUUUAUCUCAUCACUGAGAUAUCGCUUGCUUACUGCUGGUGCCUCAACUAAUGACAUAUUGCACCAGUAUGUUUCCACAAUCAAGGCACUGCGGUCGAUUGACCCCACUGGUGUAUUCUUGGAAGCAGUUGGUGAACCAAUUAGGGAUUAUCUGAGAGGUAGAAAAGACACUAUUAAAUGCAUAGUGACAAUGCUAACUGAUGGAUCUGGAGGAAACACAAGCGGGGGAAAUGCUGGUGAUAAUCUUCUUGAAGAAUUGAACAGGGAUGCUGAAAACCAGGAAAAUGCUGACUAUGAUGAUCAUACAAACAUUGAUGAGAAGCAAGCUUGGUUGAAUUCUGAAAGCUGGGAGCCUGAUCCUGUUGAAGCAGAUCCAUUGAAAGGCAGCAGGAGUAGGAGGAAAAUUGAUAUACUUGGACUGAUGGUCAGUAUAAUUGGCUCAAAGGACCAAUUGGUCAACGAAUAUCGUGUAAUGCUGGCUGAGAAGCUGCUAAGCAAAUCUGAUUUUGAUAUAGAUUCUGAUAUCCGCACGCUGGAGCUCCUUAAGAUUCAUUUCGGUGAGAGCAGCAUGCAGAAGUGUGAGAUUAUGCUCAAUGACUUGAUUGACUCGAAGAGAACCAACUCAAAUAUUAAAACAUCAUUAUUAAAUGCACCUGGAACUGUUGCUGGGCAAGAGGAGGCAGAAAUUUCUCAUGAUGUUCUUGAUGCUACAAUAAUUUCUUCCAAUUUUUGGCCACCGAUUCAGACAGAAGAUCUCGCAGUUCCUGCUUCAGUUGAUAAACUGCUGUCUGAUUUUGCACAAAGAUUCCAUCAGAUAAAAACUCCACGGAAGCUAUUGUGGAAGAAAAAUCUUGGAACGGUCAAGUUGGAACUGCAAUUUGAGGACAGAAGUAUGCAGUUUACUGUAGUACCUGUGCAGGCUGCAAUCAUAAUGCGGUUUCAAGAGAAACCAAGCUGGACUUCAAAGGCACUUGCUACCGAAAUCGGCAUACCUGUAGAUUCUCUCAACAGAAGAAUAGGUUUCUGGACAAGCAAGGGGGUCCUGACUGAAUCGGUGGGACCAGAUGCCGAUGAUCACAUCUUCACAAUUGUUGAUAGCAUGUCUGAUGUCAACAAAAACAGCAUCGUGAACGAAAGCUGCGAAGCGUUUCAAAUGAAUGAGGACGAAGGUGAAAGUUCCGUUGCAUCCGUUGAGGAACAGCUUAAGAAAGAAAUGACAGUCUAUGAGAAAUUCAUCAUAGGAAUGUUAACCAAUUUCGGCAAUAUGACACUGGACAAAAUACAUAACACUUUGAAGAUGUUCUGUGCCGAGCCAUCGUAUGAUAAAUCACUGCAGCAAUUGCAGAGUUUUCUUUCGGGUCUAGUAUCAGAUGAGAAGCUUGAAAUGAGAGAUGGAUUGUACUUGCUAAAAAAGUAACUGCUACUUAGGGUGACACAUUAUGCUGUUAGAUUAAGGAUGACAGGCAGUCAAACCAGCGCAGAUGGUGGGCUUCCUGAUGUUGCUCUGAACUCGCUUUUCUUCUUUCCCUAGCCUUGAUAGUUUCAA
Aegilops tauschii subsp. strangulata is the source of this 2828-nucleotide RNA transcript. It is a transcript of the gene named anaphase-promoting complex subunit 2, with no coding region annotated. The record is from RefSeq and is a predicted model, not a curated record. NCBI's taxonomy places the organism in Eukaryota, Viridiplantae, Streptophyta, Magnoliopsida, Poales, Poaceae.